GCCCCUUCUCUUUAUCAUCGAGUUUCUUUUGUCUUCCCCCUUCAUCAUCCUCUGCAAACCCUUCCUUCGAUCAUCGCCCCUUUUUUUAUCAUCGAGUUUCUUUUGUCUUCCCCCUUCAUCAUCCUCUGUAAACCCUAAAGGAAUCUACACCAGUUCAUCGAGGAUUACUGAUUCAAUCCGAUGGAAUAAUGGAUCUUACAAAUGUCGUUGUUAUUUUGCAAGCAACAGAGUCCCAAUCAUGUUGAACGAAAACCCGCUGAAGAUAGCCUCAAUCAGGUACGCAUUCAGAUUACAAUUUCUUUUGGAUCGUUGAAUUGAAGUAUGAAGACAAUUAAUUCAACAGGUUUGGGUUACAUAACUAUCAAGCAUUCUUUUGUUAUUAUAUAUGAUGAGAACGAAUCUUCCACUUAUUAUUUUAGGGAACACCAUUUGGCCAGAUUUUUCGCUACAUUCGUUGCCGU
This 461-nucleotide long non-coding RNA is filed under the name Helianthus annuus (common sunflower). The record is from RNAcentral. Lineage: Eukaryota; Viridiplantae; Streptophyta; Magnoliopsida; Asterales; Asteraceae.